GACGAACGCUGGCGGCGUGCUUAACACAUGCAAGUCGAACGAUGAAGAACGGCACUUGUGUUGUUUGGAUUAGUGGCGAACGGGUGAGUAACACGUGAGUAACCUGCCCCUUACUUCGGGAUAACCAUUGGAAACGGUGGCUAAUACUGGAUAUGACCUGUCACUGCAUGGUGGUGGGUGGAAAGAUUUUUUGGUGAGGGAUGGGCUCGCGGCCUAUCAGCUUGUUGGUGGGGUGAUGGCCUACCAAGGCGACGACGGGUAGCCGGCCUGAGAGGGCGACCGGCCACACUGGGACUGAGACACGGCCCAGACUCCUACGGGAGGCAGCAGUGGGGAAUAUUGCACAAUGGGCGAAAGCCUGAUGCAGCGACGCCGCGUGGGGGAUGAAGGCCUUCGGGUUGUAAACCCCUUUCAGUAGGGAAGAAGCGUAAGUGACGGUACCUGCAGAAGAAGCGCCGGCUAACUAC
Molecule: ribosomal RNA, 467 nt
Filed under: uncultured Actinomycetes bacterium
Lineage: Bacteria; Bacillati; Actinomycetota; Actinomycetes
Description: bacterial SSU rRNA
Rfam family: Bacterial small subunit ribosomal RNA
Source: RNAcentral